CUUUGAACCCUAGACUGCUUGCUCCUUGCUCCUUCGUUUGAACCCUCCCUUUCUGCUUGCUCCUUCGUUUGAACCCUCCCUCUCUUUGACAUUGAAGCCCUACCCCUUCUUCCAUUGAAGCUCCUUCACUUGUUCUUCCAUUGAAGCUCCUACCCCUUCUUCCAUUGAAGCUCCUUCACCUCUUCGACUUCAUCGCUCCAACUUCUGGUUCAGUUUAUUCAAGUUUUACAAUUUCGUGGCUCUGAAACUAUUAGAUGGGGAAUUGUUUGCGCAAGGCAUGGACAACUAAUCUAGUUGUAAGGACUAAGGAGCAAUAUUAGUCGA
This is a long non-coding RNA of Glycine soja, 324 nucleotides long. RefSeq lists it as uncharacterized. The transcript is spliced from 3 exons. Lineage: Eukaryota; Viridiplantae; Streptophyta; Magnoliopsida; Fabales; Fabaceae. The record is from RefSeq and is a predicted model, not a curated record.